CUACGGAGGAUCCGAGCGUUAUCCGGAUUUAUUGGGUUUAAAGGGUGCGCAGGCGGCCAUUUAAGUCAGCGGUUAAAUCGUGGGGCUCAACCCCAUUCUGCCGUUGAUACUGGGUGGCUUGAUUGCGGUCGAGGUUGGUGGAAUUCGUUGUGUAGCGGUGAAAUGCAUAGAUAUGACGAAGAACACCGAUUGCGUAGGCAGCUGACCAGACCGCAAAUGACGCUCAUGCACGAAAGUGCGGGGAUCGAACAGGAUUAGAUACCCUGGUAGUCCGCACAGUAAACGAUGAAUACUUGUUUUCGGCGAUAUAAUGUCGGAGGCAAAGCGAAAGCGAUAAGUAUUCCACCUGGGGAGUACGCCGGCAACGGUGAAACUCAAAGGAAUUGACGGGG
This 392-nucleotide ribosomal RNA is filed under the name uncultured bacterium. RNAcentral's name for it is "partial 16S ribosomal RNA". It matches the Rfam family "Bacterial small subunit ribosomal RNA", at positions 523 to 918 of the family's 1533-position model. The record is from RNAcentral.